This 483-nucleotide ribosomal RNA is filed under the name uncultured bacterium. RNAcentral's name for it is "bacterial SSU rRNA". It matches the Rfam family "Bacterial small subunit ribosomal RNA", at positions 443 to 918 of the family's 1533-position model. The record is from RNAcentral.
GGAGGAAAACCUGUCGGUCAAUACCCGGCAGCUUGACAUUACCUUUAGAAGAAGCACCGGCUAACUCCGUGCCAGCAGCCGCGGUAAUACGGAGGGUGCAAGCGUUAAUCGGAAUUACUGGGCGUAAAGCGUGCGUAGGCGGUUCGUUAAGUCAGAUGUGAAAGCCCCGGGCUUAACCUGGGAACUGCAUUUGAAACUGGUGGACUUGAGUUGAGUAGAGGGGAGUGGAAUUUCAGGUGUAGCGGUGAAAUGCGUAGAUAUCUGAAGGAACACCAGUGGCGAAGGCGACUCCCUGGACUCAAACUGACGCUGAGGUACGAAAGCGUGGGUAGCAAACAGGAUUAGAUACCCUGGUAGUCCACGCUGUAAACGAUGUCAACUAGCCGUUGGUCCUAUUUACAGGAUUAGUGGCGCAGCUAACGCAUUAAGUUGACCGCCUGGGGAGUACGGCCGCAAGGUUAAAACUCAAAUGAAUUGACGGGG